This 455-nucleotide ribosomal RNA is filed under the name uncultured bacterium. Its description in RNAcentral is "bacterial SSU rRNA". It matches the Rfam family "Bacterial small subunit ribosomal RNA", at positions 29 to 506 of the family's 1533-position model. The record is from RNAcentral.
ACGAACGCUGGCGGCGUGCCUAACACAUGCAAGUCGAACGGGAUCCAGGCUUUCGGGCUUGGUGAGAGUGGCGCACGGGUGAGUAACGCGUGGGAACCUGCCCUCAGGUACGGAAUAACGCCGGGAAACUGGCGCUAAUACCGUAUGUCUCCCCCCUGGCAACACGGGGGAGAAAGAUUCAUCGCCUGAGGAUGGUCCCGCGUCCGAUUAGCUAGUUGGCGGGGUAAUGGCCCACCAAGGCGUCGAUCGGUAGCUGGUCUGAGAGGAUGACCAGCCACACUGGGACUGAGACACGGCCCAGACUCCUACGGGAGGCAGCAGUGGGGAAUAUUGGACAAUGGGGGCAACCCUGAUCCAGCAACGCCGCGUGGAUGAAGAAGGCCUUCGGGUUGUAAAGUCCUUUCGGCAGGGACGAUGAUGACGGUACCUGCAGAAGAAGCCCCGGCUAACUUCGU